CUCCUGCCUAAUGAUUGGUCCAAACAACUGCUCUCUGAUGUGAAGCUACUGGACUACAUACUCAGGCACCAGCUAUAAAUAACGGCCGUUAUUUUGUGACGGAAGAUAGUAGGGGGAGAAAAAGUGCAAUAGUGCUGCCGGCACUGAAGAGGGACACCCCUGAAGCCACUUGCCAAGGCAACACAGAGGUCGUCGGACCUGCCAAGAUGCCGAGUCACUUCACCUGCCAAGAGCGCACCAAGGGACACAGGCCAGGACGCAAAAUGUCGAAUAGAAACUAUAGACUGCAGAAACAAUUCUUCAGAAAGGACCAAAGCAGAAUCAAAGAGGAACUAUAUCUCAAAAAAGGCUCAUUUCCAAGAAUUAAAGGGAAAAAAGAUCUUUCUGCA
Long non-coding RNA from Hyla sarda, 389 nucleotides. RefSeq lists it as uncharacterized. The record is from RefSeq and is a predicted model, not a curated record. The transcript is spliced from 3 exons. NCBI's taxonomy places the organism in Eukaryota, Metazoa, Chordata, Amphibia, Anura, Hylidae.